UCUCCUGGAAAACGGGUGGUAAUGCCGGAUGUUCCAGUUGAUCGCAUGGUCUUCUGGGAAAGCUUUCGCGGUAUGGGAUGGGGUCGCGUCCUAUCAGCUUGACGGCGGGGUAACGGCCCACCGUGGCUUCGACGGGUAGCCGGCCUGAGAGGGCGACCGGCCACAUUGGGACUGAGAUACGGCCCAGACUCCUACGGGAGGCAGCAGUGGGGAAUAUUGCACAAUGGGCGCAAGCCUGAUGCAGCGACGCCGCGUGAGGGAUGGAGGCCUUCGGGUUGUAAACCUCUUUUAUCGGGGAGCAAGCGUGAGUGAGUUUACCCGUUGAAUAAGCACCGGCUAACUACGUGCCAGCAGCCGCGGUAAUACGUAGGGUGCAAGCGUUAUCCGGAAUUAUUGGGCGUAAAGGGCUCGUAGGCGGUUCGUCGCGUCCGGUGUGAAAGUCCAUCGCUUAACGGUGGAUCCGCGCCGGGUACGGGCGGGCUUGAGUGCGGUAGGGGAGACUGGAAUUCCCGGUGUAACGGUGGAAUGUGUAGAUAUCGGAAAAGAACACC
Molecule: ribosomal RNA, 551 nt
Filed under: Bifidobacterium longum subsp. infantis
Lineage: Bacteria; Bacillati; Actinomycetota; Actinomycetes; Bifidobacteriales; Bifidobacteriaceae
Description: bacterial SSU rRNA
Rfam family: Bacterial small subunit ribosomal RNA
Source: RNAcentral